AGCCGAAACGGCCCUUCGGGGCCGUCGUGCAGGGGGUGACCGCCCUGCGCCCGAUGAUGGCAGGUCGAG
This 69-nucleotide non-coding RNA is filed under the name Subdoligranulum sp. Lineage: Bacteria; Bacillati; Bacillota; Clostridia; Eubacteriales; Oscillospiraceae. The record is from RNAcentral.